RNAcentral lists this ribosomal RNA (437 nucleotides) under uncultured bacterium. Its description in RNAcentral is "partial 16S ribosomal RNA". It matches the Rfam family "Bacterial small subunit ribosomal RNA", at positions 30 to 507 of the family's 1533-position model. The record is from RNAcentral.
AGCGAACGCUGGCGGCAUGCUUAACACAUGCAAGUCGCGCGGGAGGUUUCGGCCAUCAGCGGCGGACGGGUGAGUAUCGCGUAGGAAUGUAUCCCGAGGUGGGGGACAACCCUGGGAAACUGGGGCUAAUACCGCAUGGGCCCUGUGCGUCAAAGCCUUAGGGCGCGUUGGGAGCAGCGUGCGUCGGAUCAGGUGGUUGGAGGGGUAAAGGCGUACCAAGCCUGCGAUCGGUAGCUGGUCUGAGAGGACGAGCAGCGACACUGGGACUGAGACACGGCCCGGACUACUACGGGAGGCAGCAGUGGGGAAUAUUGGACAAUGGGCGCAAGCCUGAUCCAGCAAUGCCGCGUGAGUGAAGAAGGUCUUCGGAUUGUAAAGCCCUUUCGGCGGGGACGAUAGUGACGGUACCCGCAGAAGAAGCCCCGGCUAACUUCGUG